AACGAACGCUGGCGGCAGGCUUAACACAUGCAAGUCGAGCGCAGGAAAUCGACGGAACCCUUCGGGGGGAAGUCGACGGAAUGAGCGGCGGACGGGUGAGUAACACGUAAAGAACCUACCCUCAGGUCUGGGAUAACCACGAGAAAUCGGGGCUAAUACCGGAUGGGUCAGCGGACCGCAUGGUCCGAGGAUGAAAGGCGCUUCGGCGUCGCCUGGGGAUGGCUUUGCGGUGCAUUAGCUAGUUGGUGGGGUAGUGGCCCACCAAGGCGACGAUGCAUAGCCGACCUGAGAGGGUGAUCGGCCACACUGGGACUGAGUCACGGCCCAGACUCCUACGGGAGGCAGCAGUAGGGAAUCUUCCACAACGGACGAAAGUCUGAUGGAGCAACGCCGCGUGAACGAUGAAGGCCUUCGGGUCGUAAAGUUCUGUUGUAAGGGAAGAACAAGUGCCGCAGGCAAUGGCGGCACCUUGACGGUACCUUGCGAGAAAGCCACGGCUAACUACGUGCCAGCCGCCGCAGUAA
RNAcentral lists this ribosomal RNA (524 nucleotides) under uncultured bacterium. Its description in RNAcentral is "partial 16S ribosomal RNA". It matches the Rfam family "Bacterial small subunit ribosomal RNA", at positions 29 to 523 of the family's 1533-position model. The record is from RNAcentral.